This 48-nucleotide non-coding RNA is filed under the name Trichobilharzia regenti. Lineage: Eukaryota; Metazoa; Platyhelminthes; Trematoda; Strigeidida; Schistosomatidae. The record is from RNAcentral.
ACCCAUCUGACGAGUCCCAAAUAGGAGGAAAUAGGCGUUAUCCUGGAU